RNAcentral lists this ribosomal RNA (406 nucleotides) under uncultured bacterium. Its description in RNAcentral is "partial 16S ribosomal RNA". It matches the Rfam family "Bacterial small subunit ribosomal RNA", at positions 30 to 526 of the family's 1533-position model. The record is from RNAcentral.
AUUGAACGCUGGCGGCAGGCCUAACACAUGCAAGUCGAGCGAGCGGCGGACGGGUGAGUAAUGGAUGGGGAUCUGCCCGCUAGAGGGGGAUAACUACUGGAAACGGUGGCUAAUACCGCAUACUAUAGUUUGAACCCUGAUGGGUUUAGCUAGUAGGUGGGGUAAAGGCUCCCCUAGGCGACGAUCCCUAGCGGGUCUGAGAGGAUGAUCAGCCACACUGGGACUGAGACACGGUCCAGACUCCUACGGGAGGCAGCAGUGGGGAAUAUUGGACAAUGGGCGCAAGCCUGAUGCAGCCAUGCCGCGUGUAUGAAGAAGGCCUUAGGGUUGUAAAGUACUUUCAGCGGGGAGGCGUUACCCGCAGAAGAAGCACCGGCUAACUCCGUGCCAGCAGCCGCGGUAAUUC